This 253-nucleotide ribosomal RNA is filed under the name uncultured bacterium. RNAcentral describes it as "partial 16S ribosomal RNA". It matches the Rfam family "Bacterial small subunit ribosomal RNA", at positions 524 to 776 of the family's 1533-position model. The record is from RNAcentral.
UACAGAGGGUGCAAGCGUUAAUCGGAAUUACUGGGCGUAAAGCGUGCGUAGACGGUAGCGUAAGUCGGGUGUGAAAGCCCCGAGCUCAACUUGGGAAUUGCAGUGGAUACUGGCGAGCUGGAGUGCGGUAGAGGAAGGUGGAAUUCCCGGUGUAGCGGUGAAAUGCGUAGAGAUCGGGAGGAACACCAGUGGCGAAGGCGGCCUUCUGGACCAGCACUGACACUCAAGCACGAAAGCGUGGGGAGCAAACAGG